GGGGAUUUAGCUCAGUGGUAGAGCACUUGCCUAACAGGCACAAGGCCCUGGGUUCGGUCCCCAGCUCCG
Molecule: transfer RNA, 69 nt
Filed under: Rattus norvegicus (Norway rat)
Lineage: Eukaryota; Metazoa; Chordata; Mammalia; Rodentia; Muridae
Rfam family: tRNA
About the family: Transfer RNA (tRNA) molecules are approximately 80 nucleotides in length. Their secondary structure includes four short double-helical elements and three loops (D, anti-codon, and T loops).
Source: Rfam by way of RNAcentral